This 132-nucleotide small nucleolar RNA is filed under the name Setaria italica (foxtail millet). RNAcentral describes it as "Small nucleolar RNA Z247". It matches the Rfam family "Small nucleolar RNA Z247". From Rfam's summary of the family: Z247 is a member of the C/D class of snoRNA which contain the C (UGAUGA) and D (CUGA) box motifs. Most of the members of the box C/D family function in directing site-specific 2'-O-methylation of substrate RNAs. The record is from Rfam by way of RNAcentral. Lineage: Eukaryota; Viridiplantae; Streptophyta; Magnoliopsida; Poales; Poaceae.
AAAUCUGAUGAUGAUGACGUGAUUGGCAAUAUCCUCAAUGGACUUGGUCCAUAUUAUAAUCCUUUUAUCUCCGCCAUGUAUGUGAAGGACAAUCUAUCUCUGAGCUAUCUCUAUGGUCAACUUCUGUCCUAU